CCCUCAAUUCCUCAGGAUGUGAGGAAAUGAAGCAAAGGAAAAAUACCUCUCCCCUCCCACCUUGAGCAUAGCUCCCUGUCAGCACCGCAGCCUGGGAACCAAGGUGGAGAGAAGAUGUGAUCACACUGCUCUUGGCUAUUGGGACUGUCACCAGACAGGGUCUGAAGGGGUCUCUGAAGUGGAGCUGGGGAACCUCAUCUUACUCCACCCACAGGCAGGACAUAACAAACAGGUGAAAAAAGCCAGCCCCCACGGACCAGCCUCCUAUAGCAGAAGCUAUGAGGAAAACCACACAGCAGAGAAAAAUACUCAUGUAAAGAUCUGUGCACCAUGCUUAAGCUAUAUGAAGAAAAGGUCCAAAUAAAUCUAAUACCUAAACAACACACUGGAGCAGAGGGCUGCAGAUGAACUUGGACAGAUACUUUCUCAGCAGAUAUACACCAUCACAGGAACAGAGUACCUCUGAGCAUGACUCCCUUCAGUCAGCAUGGAAGAUUAAUGAAACCAGCUUUUAACUCUAAAAUUAUAAAAUGAUAUAAUGCAGAAUAAACAUAAUUAUUUGUUUGUUUGUUUUGUUUUGGUACCGGGGAUUGAACUCGGGACUUUGCAUUUGUGAGGCAGGCAGUAGAACCACUGAGCUAAAUCCCCGGCCCUAAGCAUAAUUGUUGUCAGAGCAGACACAGACCUUCUGGCAUUAUAUGGAAAGAUAUCUGAUGUAUUGCAUAAACCCGGAUCCCUCUAGCAUUUCCUCAGACUUCCCUUCUUCAUCCAGCUGCACUUGUGCUUUUCGUCCUUAAACAUGUAUCUGCUUUGAACCUGAUGGAUCAGGUGAUUCCAAACUACACUUUCCCCUGGGCUACUCACCAUUUCUAGUUCAUCUCCUGGGCAAAUAUCCCAACCCUUGGAAGUUAGGCACACAGUCUGUGCAUGUACUAAGCAUGUGGCUUUCUGCAUAUGUCUGCACAUCAUUUUUCAGGAAACUCUAUUUCACACUGCACCAGCUUGCUGAGUAGCUGUUGUUCACACCCACUGAGAAAUAACUCCAUGUGAGAAUAAUACCUUUACAACUUUGAAAUGUCCUCAGACAGACUUCUCAUCUCCAGGCCAUCAACCUGCUGUGAACUCUCAUCCUGACUUUUCACACUUACAGGCAACAGUCAUGCAACAUACUGUCAAACAAUAUGAAGGUUUGGGGAGAUGUGGAGGAGUGAAAAAUUUUAAAUUGGAGCCUGAACAUCUUUUGAGAUGGGUGUAAUUUUUAAUAAUUAAAAAAUCUAUCACACAUACAA
Molecule: long non-coding RNA, 1289 nt
Organism: Heterocephalus glaber (naked mole-rat)
Lineage: Eukaryota; Metazoa; Chordata; Mammalia; Rodentia; Bathyergidae
Source: Ensembl